GUAGCCCAAGAGAUCGGGAUAAUACCUGGAAACAGAUGCUAAUACCGGAUAACAACAGAUGAUGCCUAUCAACUGUUUAAAAGAUGGUUCUGCUAUCACUCUUGGAUGGACCUGCGGUGCAUUAGCUAGUUGGUAGGGUAACGGCCUACCAAGGCGAUGAUGCAUAGCCGAGUUGAGAGACUGAUCGGCCACAUUGGGACUGAGACACGGCCCAAACUCCUACGGGAGGCAGCAGCG
Molecule: ribosomal RNA, 237 nt
Filed under: uncultured Lactobacillus sp.
Lineage: Bacteria; Bacillati; Bacillota; Bacilli; Lactobacillales; Lactobacillaceae
Description: partial 16S ribosomal RNA
Rfam family: Bacterial small subunit ribosomal RNA
Source: RNAcentral